CCUACGGGUGGCAGCAGUGGGGAAUAUUGGACAAUGGGGGGAACCCUGAUCCAGCCAUGCCGCGUGUGUGAAGAAGGCCCUCGGGUUGUAAAGCACUUUCAGUGAGGAAGAACGCCUGGUGGUUAAUACCCAUCAGGAAAGACAUCACUCACAGAAGAAGCACCGGCUAACUCCGUGCCAGCAGCCGCGGUAAUACGGAGGGUGCGAGCGUUAAUCGGAAUUACUGGGCGUAAAGCGCGCGUAGGUGGCUUGAUAAGCCGGUUGUGAAAGCCCCGGGCUCAACCUGGGAACGGCAUCCGGAACUGUCAAGCUAGAGUGCAGGAGAGGAAGGUAGAAUUCCCGGUGUAGCGGUGAAAUGCGUAGAGAUCGGGAGGAAUACCAGUGGCGAAGGCGGCCUUCUGGACUGAAACUGACACUGAGGUGCGAAAGCGUGGGUAGCAAACAGGAUUAGAUACCCCUGUAGUC
This 465-nucleotide ribosomal RNA is filed under the name Vreelandella stevensii. Its description in RNAcentral is "partial 16S ribosomal RNA". It matches the Rfam family "Bacterial small subunit ribosomal RNA", at positions 338 to 795 of the family's 1533-position model. The record is from RNAcentral. Lineage: Bacteria; Pseudomonadati; Pseudomonadota; Gammaproteobacteria; Oceanospirillales; Halomonadaceae.